UACCGCGGCUGCUGGCACAGAGUUAGCCGGUGCUUCUUCUAUGGGUUACGUCAAGACCCCGACGUAUUAGGUCGAGGCUUUUCUUCCCCACCGAAAGGGCUUUACAACCCGCAGGCCUUCUUCACCCACGCGGCGUCGCUGGAUCAGGGUUUCCCCCAUUGUCCAAUAUUCCCCACUGCUGCCUCCCGUAGGAGUCUGGGCCGUGUCUCAGUCCCAGUGUGGCUGGUCGUCCUCUCAGACCAGCUACGGAUCGUCGCCUUGGUGGGCCGUUACCCCACCAACUAGCUAAUCCGACUUGGGCUCAUCUAUUAGCGCAAGGUCUUGCGAUCCCCUGCUUUCCUCCGUGGAGCGUAUGCGGUAUUAGCCCGAGUUUCCCCGGGUUGUCCCCCACUAAUAGGCAGAUUCCCAAGCGUUACUCACCCGUCCGCCUCUCGUCGCCAGGUUGCCCCGCGUUACCGAUCGACUUGCAUGUGUUAGGCACGCCGCCAGCGUUCAAUCUGAGCCAUGAUCAAACUC
This 516-nucleotide ribosomal RNA is filed under the name uncultured Gammaproteobacteria bacterium. RNAcentral describes it as "partial 16S ribosomal RNA". Lineage: Bacteria; Pseudomonadati; Pseudomonadota; Gammaproteobacteria. The record is from RNAcentral.